CUGGUGGUCCUGGAGAUUGAAGGCCUGUAUCCACCACACAGUAAGCAGCAGGGUGUAUUUCCCCCUCACCGCCUCCCACCAGUGUGCCUCAUCCUGCCCUGGAGGGGCCAUUUCUUGUGAGAGGGGAGUUCCGUUUCCAUGGAUCAUCAGUUCUUGGCCUCU
Molecule: small RNA, 162 nt
Filed under: Chrysemys picta bellii (western painted turtle)
Lineage: Eukaryota; Metazoa; Chordata; Testudines; Emydidae
Description: TUC338 (ENSCPBG00000002959.1)
Source: RNAcentral